UACGUAGGGUGCAAGCGUUGUCCGGAAUUAUUGGGCGUAAAGAGCUCGUAGGCGGUUUGUCGCGUCUGCCGUGAAAGUCCGGGGCUCAACUCCGGAUCUGCGGUGGGUACGGGCAGACUAGAGUGAUGUAGGGGAGACUGGAAUUCCCGGUGUAGCGGUGAAAUGCGCAGAUAUCGGGAGGAACACCAGUAGCGAAGGCGGCACUCUGGGCCGGUACUGACGCUGAGGAGCGAAAGCGUGGGGAGCGAACAGG
RNAcentral lists this ribosomal RNA (253 nucleotides) under uncultured bacterium. Its description in RNAcentral is "partial 16S ribosomal RNA". It matches the Rfam family "Bacterial small subunit ribosomal RNA", at positions 524 to 776 of the family's 1533-position model. The record is from RNAcentral.